This 484-nucleotide ribosomal RNA is filed under the name uncultured bacterium. RNAcentral's name for it is "partial 16S ribosomal RNA". It matches the Rfam family "Bacterial small subunit ribosomal RNA", at positions 899 to 1397 of the family's 1533-position model. The record is from RNAcentral.
ACUCAAAUGAAUUGACGGGGACCCGCACAACCAGUGGAGCGUGUGGUUCAAUUCGAGACAAAGCGAAAAACCUCACCAGGGUUUGACAUGCAACUGCAAACUCUAUGAAAGUAGAGCUCUUUUGAAGGUGUUGCACAGGUGCUGCAUGGCUGUCGUCAGCUCGUGCCGUGAGGUGUUCCCUUAAGUGGGGAAACGAGCGCAACCCGCGUUAAAUGUUAAAUAUUCAUUUAAGACUGCCUUGUUUUUACAAGGAGGAAGGAGCGGAAGACGUCAAGUCAGCACGGCCCUUAUACCCUGGGCUACACACACCCUACAAUGGCGAAGAACAACGAGCCGCAAGCCAGCGAUGGCAAGCUAAUCUCUGAAAUUUCGCCUCAGUUCAGAUUGCAGUCUGAAAUUCGACUGCAUGAAGUCGGAAUUGGUAGUAAUCGCGGAUCAGCAGGCCGCGGUGAAUACGUUCUCGGGUCUUGUACACACCGCCCGU